GCACUGCUGAGGAGUCCAAUAAUGAGACGAAACGGCCGUCCAGUGC
This 46-nucleotide non-coding RNA is filed under the name Schistosoma mansoni. Lineage: Eukaryota; Metazoa; Platyhelminthes; Trematoda; Strigeidida; Schistosomatidae. The record is from RNAcentral.